UCUUUUCCUUUUGUUUCAGCAGCCGCGGUAAUACGUAGGGAGCGAGCGUUGUCCGGAAUUACUGGGUGUAAAGGGAGCGUAGGCGGGAUCGCAAGUCAGAUGUGAAAACUAUGGGCUUAACCCAUAAACUGCAUUUGAAACUGUGGUUCUUGAGUGAAGUAGAGGUAAGCGGAAUUCCUAGUGUAGCGGUGAAAUGCGUAGAUAUUAGGAGGAACAUCAGUGGCGAAGGCGGCUUACUGGGCUUUAACUGACGCUGAGGCUCGAAAGCGUGGGGAGCAAACAGG
Molecule: ribosomal RNA, 284 nt
Filed under: Ruminococcus champanellensis 18P13 = JCM 17042
Lineage: Bacteria; Bacillati; Bacillota; Clostridia; Eubacteriales; Oscillospiraceae
Description: partial 16S ribosomal RNA
Rfam family: Bacterial small subunit ribosomal RNA
Source: RNAcentral